Molecule: ribosomal RNA, 250 nt
Filed under: uncultured bacterium
Lineage: Bacteria
Description: partial 16S ribosomal RNA
Rfam family: Bacterial small subunit ribosomal RNA
Source: RNAcentral
UACGUAGGGUGCAAGCGUUGUCCGGAAUUAUUGGGCGUAAAGAGCUCGUAGGCGGUUUUGUCGCGUCUGCUGUGAAAACCCGAGGCUCAACCUCGGGCCCGCAGUGGGUACGGGCAGACUAGAGUGCGGGUAGGGGAGAUUGGAAUUCCUGGUGUAGCGGUGGAAUGCGCAGAUAUCAGGAGGAACACCAAUGGCGAAGGCAGAUCUCUGGGCCGUAACUGACGCUGGAGGAGCGAAAGCAUGGGGGAGC